GACGAACGCUGGCGGCGUGCUUAAUACAUGCAAGUCGAACGGAAAGGCCCUGCUCUUGUGGGGUGCUCGUGUGCCGAACGGGUGAGUAACACGCGAGUAUCCUGCCCCUGACUUUGGGAUAACUUCAGGAAACUGGGGCUCAUAUCGCAGAGGAGCUCUUGCUGCACGGUGGGCGUUGGAAAGUUUCGGUGUUUGGGGAUGUACUCGCGGCUUAUCAGCUUGUUGGUCUGGUAGUGGCUUUCCAAGGCUUCGACGGGUAGCCGGCCUGAGAGGGUGACCGGCCACAUUGGGACUGAGAGACGGCCCAGUCGCCUACGGGAGGCAGCAGUGGGGAACAUUGCAGAAUGGGCGGAAGCCUGAUGCAGCAACGCCGGGUUCGGGAUGACGGCCUUCGGGUUAUAAACCACUUUCGACUGAGACGAAGCGUGAGUGACGGUAAUGGGUAAAGAAGCACCGGCUAACUACGUG
RNAcentral lists this ribosomal RNA (468 nucleotides) under uncultured bacterium. RNAcentral's name for it is "partial 16S ribosomal RNA". It matches the Rfam family "Bacterial small subunit ribosomal RNA", at positions 28 to 507 of the family's 1533-position model. The record is from RNAcentral.